Long non-coding RNA from Coturnix japonica (Japanese quail), 1844 nucleotides. RefSeq lists it as uncharacterized. The record is from RefSeq and is a predicted model, not a curated record. NCBI's taxonomy places the organism in Eukaryota, Metazoa, Chordata, Aves, Galliformes, Phasianidae.
UGAGGAGUGAUGAUUUCAUCACGACCUGACAUGUCCUUCGUUUCCAGUAAGGAAAACAAACAAAACCUCACAGUUUUGAAAAUAUAGCCCAGACAUGCUGAACGCUCAUAAAAGGGCAGAGAGACCAUGGAUGGAACAGAAAAAAUAGCUUAAAAUGUCAUCAGAAGCUGUUAUGAUCUUUGAGAACACAAGCCUCAGUCUUGAGCAGAAGAUAAGGAGCAGAAUGACCUUGCAUCCUCCAGCCAUAUACCUGAUGUUAACAGUCGAGGAACCCAAGGCCAACCCAAGGACUGUAUCGUGGUGUGCAUAGACCAAUAGGCAUCCAAUUGAUCAAGCUCAGUGAUGCUCUUGGGAAGAGAGACGACACUGCAGAGAUCCCAUUCAUCAGCUUUAGCAGUUGGGAAAGGAUGGGAGAACAGCUCAUCACAGAGCUCUGCAUCCUGCACCAUGCUCACGUCUGCUGGGAUGCUCUCACUUCAGAGAUGGGUUUUGAAGAGUCAGCGGAGAGCAAAUGAGGUGAUGCCACAUCCUUGCCAGAAGUUAACCGGCCCUGACGCUGCUCACCCCAGUGCUGAGAGGCACCACGAGCUUCAAUGGUGAGUUUGCAUGCAGCCCUGUGGGUCCCCAGCUGCCGACAUUCAGUUUUCAGCCCAGGAUUUCCCAACCAUGCUAAAGGUAUUGCUGGCAAGAGCUGUGUUGCUCAAUGACCGUGCUUUCCAUGCAAGGCUGAUUUCAUAGCUUCAUAGGUCAUAGCAUAGGAUGGUUUGGGUUGAAAGAGGACUCUAAAUACCGCUUAGUUCACUUGCUGUUUGCAUGGUUGUCUCCCAUAGGCCUGCCUUCCAAAGCCCCUCCAGGGAUGGGGCACCCAUGCUUCCCUGAGCAGCAGUGCCAGGGCCCCACAGUACAGCAUUUCCUCAUUAUUUGUGCUAACCCAACCACAUGCAUCCAGAGAUACCAUGACAGGCAGGGAAAUGGAGCCCCAGACCCCUUUUGGAGCCCCAAGCUCAUCACUCGCUGUUUUAAUUGAGAUGCUAAAGCCAAGCUAAGAUGCUGAACCUCCUUGGCUUGUGUUCGUUUCUGGUAAGUAACAACUAUUAGUAUUCAGGCCAGGGACCUCACAGCAUCAUACAGUUCAAUAUUUUCUGCCCCUGUAACAAAGGCAGGCCAUUUUGUAUGCAGAAUGCAGGAGUGCAACCUUUUGUUACGUGAGUUUCUUAAAUUUUUAUCUCAAAAAUCAAUGAAGGAAUUGGAGUCAGGAGAAAAAGAGGGAGAGCAUGAGGGAAAAUGAUGAUGAAAGAGGGGAAAAGGGGGAAAAGCACCCGAGCUCAUCCAUAUAACACUCAUAAACUCUUUAACAAUCACUGUGUAUUUUAUGCUUUGGUUUUAAAGCUUUGAAUGAGGGCUGGGGUUUUUUUUUGUCCUUUUUUUUCACCCUGCAGAAUCUAUAGAACUGCUUGUCUAUUGUAGUUGAUCUUCAUGGAGAAAGAAAUUAUUCUCCAUCCAAUUAAUCUAAUUAGAAUGUAAUCAAGUUGUAGAGAUCUGUGCAGCAGUGUGAGUGAUUAGGAAAAAUUACCUUUCUGCAAAGAGUUUAAAUUUAAUUUCAGUUCCAUAAUCUAAAGCUCAAAUAAAGGAAAGUGUAAUUUGCAGUGCACUGCUUUGUGCCAUGCCCUCCUGUUUCCUGGGUAGGAGAGCAAAUUUCAGCCGUAUUCACAACAAGCCACCCUCGCGCUUCACAGCUCAAUCCACACAGAACAGCGGUUUCCAUUUUGCAGGAGGAAAUGGGAUGAUGUUGUGCUUGGGAUCCCAUCAAAGCGUGGCCCAGAGGAGCUGCCAGCUGCUGCCGC